UUGGAUGAAUUUAGACUUUUAAAGUCAGAA
RNAcentral lists this non-coding RNA (30 nucleotides) under Rattus norvegicus (Norway rat). Lineage: Eukaryota; Metazoa; Chordata; Mammalia; Rodentia; Muridae. The record is from RNAcentral.